CCUACGGGAGGCAGCAGUGAGGAAUAUUGGUCAAUGGACGAGAGUCUGAACCAGCCAAGUAGCGUGAAGGAUGACUGCCCUAUGGGUUGUAAACUUCUUUUAUCUGGGAAUAAAAUGUUCCACGUGUGGGAUUUUGUAUGUACCAUAUGAAUAAGGAUCGGCUAACUCCGUGCCAGCAGCCGCGGUAAUACGGAGGAUCCGAGCGUUAUCCGGAUUUAUUGGGUUUAAAGGGAGCGUAGGUGGAUUGUUAAGUCAGUUGUGAAAGUUUGCGGCUCAACCGUAAAAUUGCAGUUGAAACUGGCAGUCUUGAGUACAGUAGAGGUGGGCGGAAUGCGUGGUGUAGCGGUGAAAUGCUUAGAUAUCACGAAGAACUCCGAUUGCGAAGGCAGUUCACUGGACUGCAACUGACACUGAGGCUCGAAAGUGUGGGUAUCAAACAGGAUUAGAUACCCCGGUAGUC
Molecule: ribosomal RNA, 460 nt
Filed under: uncultured bacterium
Lineage: Bacteria
Description: partial 16S ribosomal RNA
Rfam family: Bacterial small subunit ribosomal RNA
Source: RNAcentral